GAAGAGCUCCCUUGUGAGUAGCAUGUGUGAUGUCACGGUCAGGAACAGGGAAGAUUUCAAAUCGACUGUUUGUUAGGAGUCCUAAGAGGCAGAUGUCAGCAGCAGAACAAACUCCAAUCACAGCAGCGUGCCAUUUGCACAAGCACCAUGCCAGUGACAUGUGGGCAGCAGGAUUAUCCCCAACUUCCUGGUGGAGAGCCAAAAGCAUGAUGGGAAACAGGAAAUUGACAAGUGACCUGACAGGAGGACUGUCAUCUGCUGGGGAGCUGAGUGAAGCCAAGAUGGCAUAACAACAUGGUUGCUAAAAUGUUUUGUUUUAUAUUACAUUUCCUUUUGUUUUAAGUGUCUACAUGAAAUAUCUAGGUAAAUACUUGGUACACAAGCGUAUAUUAAUGCAAUAAUGUACCAUUCCUCUCAGCGGUUAGUACUGUGUAUUUAGCAAUAUUGAUAUGUUCUGCUGCUUGGCUGACUUUGGAUGUAUUACAAAUGUGAACAAUGUGAACAUAUGAUCUGAACAAGUGUCUGUCUUUACACCGCAUGUGAACAUGGCCUUCUGUCCGCAUGCAGGACCUCUCCUGAAGGACAAAGACAGUCUCAUAUUUCACCCAUUAGAACAAUUGUUCUGCUCUAAAGUCACCUUGUCCCUGCAGUAGCAGCAACACACUGCAGAGAAGGCCCUCAGCUACUCUUCUCUCUCUCCCCCCUCCUCUCUGCUACUUCCAGGAUUGGGCAGUAACUGAUUACAUGUAAUCUGAUUACCCCCCCAAAAAAACGGUCUAAUCAGGUACAUUACAGAAAAAAAAUUGCAAUCAAAUUAAAGAUACUUUUUUUUUUUUUUUAACUACAUGAUUACUUCUUGGUUUACUUUUCAAUUCAGAAAGGAUGAUUGCGAAAAUAAAUACAUUGACACCAUUCUGUUUUCUCAAUGACAUUAAAUUCAGCAUUGAAAAAAGUUGGUUCAAUUUGGUUCCACCUGAGGGAGUCUGACCACUAUGAUGUCAGAGACCACUAUGAUGUCAGAGACUGAGUUUGGGUAACCCAAAAGUUACAUUAAUGAUUACAAUUUUUGACUGGUAGCUUGUAACCCUAACGGAUUACAAGUAGAAAGUAACCUAGCCAACCCUGGCUACUUUCUCCUCUACCUCUAUCUGUAAUCACAGUCCCAUUAGGUUCAUGCUACCUUCAUAGGUUUAAGUUCCUCCUGAGUGCUGACAGUAGUGGUUUAGUAAGGUGAGCCACCCAGUUUACAGGGAUGGAUGGAUGACUGCAUCUCCUCCAUGCUGGUCAGUGACAGACAGAGUGGGCAAACCCGUCCUGCAGCAGGCUCCUCCUCCUUCUGAAUCCUCCUCCUGUGAGUGGAGGGCUGGGAGAAGAGGCCCCGCCCCCAGCAGAUCACAUGGGCUAGGGGAUCAGGAACAGGAAGAAAGUGAAGACUGCUGCAGUUACUGUGGAUUGGAGUGUCCUUCCUGCAUGCUAACCUUCAACUUCCCAGGCUCUCACUCCCACACCAAACCUAUAGACUACUGCCUGCUCCUAUUCCCAUCAUAGACGCACUGUUCCAUCAUCAGAUAAUGC
This 1575-nucleotide long non-coding RNA is filed under the name Salmo salar (Atlantic salmon). RNAcentral describes it as "lncRNA (ENSSSAG00000104648.1)". Lineage: Eukaryota; Metazoa; Chordata; Actinopteri; Salmoniformes; Salmonidae. The record is from RNAcentral.